ACCUUUAAGACUGGGAUAACUUCGGGAAACCGGAGCUAAUACCGGAUAACAUGUAAGACCACAUGGUCUUACAUUAAAAGAUGGCUUCGGCUAUCACUUAUAGAUGGGCCCGCGGCGCAUUAGCUAGUUGGUGAGGUAAUGGCUCACCAAGGCGACGAUGCGUAGCCGACCUGAGAGGGUGAUCGGCCACACUGGGACUGAGACACGGCCCAGACUCCUACGGGAGGCAGCAGUAGGGAAUCUUCCGCAAUGGACGAAAGUCUGACGGAGCAACGCCGCGUGAACGAUGAAGGCUUUCGGGUCGUAAAGUUCUGUUGUUAGGGAAGAACAAGUACCAGAGUAACUGCUGGUACCUUGACGGUACCUAACCAGAAAGCCACGGCUAACUACGUGCCAGCAGCCGCGGUAAUACGUAGGUGGCAAGCGUUAUCCGGAAUUAUUGGGCGUAAAGCGCUCGCAGGCGGUCUUUUAAGUCUGAUGUGAAAGCCCACGGCUCAACCGUGGAGGGUCAUUGGAAACUGGGAGACUUGAGUGCAGAAGAGGAGAGUGGAAUUCCACGUGUAGCGGUGAAAUGCGUAGAGAUGUGGAGGAACACCAGUGGCGAAGGCGACUCUCUGGUCUGUAACUGACGCUGAGGAGCGAAAGCGUGGGGAGCGAACAGGAUUAGAUACCCUGGUAGUCCACGCCGUAAACGAUGAGUGCUAAGUGUUAGAGGGUUUCCGCCCUUUAGUGCUGCAGCUAACGCAUUAAGCACUCCGCCUGGGGAGUACGGUCGCAAGACUGAAACUCAAAGGAAUUGACGGGGGCCCGCACAAGCGGUGGAGCAUGUGGUUUAAUUCGAAGCAACGCGAAGAACCUUACCAGGUCUUGACAUCCUUAUGACUUCCCUAGAGAUAGGGCUUUCCCUUCGGGGACAUAAGUGACAGGUGGUGCAUGGUUGUCGUCAGCUCGUGUCGUGAGAUGUUGGGUUAAGUCCCGCAACGAGCGCAACCCUUGAUCUUAGUUGCCAGCAUUUAGUUGGGCACUCUAAGGUGACUGCCGGUGACAACCGGAGGAAGGUGGGGAUGACGUCAAAUCA
Molecule: ribosomal RNA, 1078 nt
Filed under: Bacillus sp. (in: firmicutes)
Lineage: Bacteria; Bacillati; Bacillota; Bacilli; Caryophanales; Bacillaceae
Description: bacterial SSU rRNA
Rfam family: Bacterial small subunit ribosomal RNA
Source: RNAcentral